AUUUUGUAAGACAAUCUCAAGAAAUGAUAUCAAGUAUUAAUAAAACCCGCUUAUUGAUAUUAGCAUAAAUGCAAAGCCAAGUAAUAUUAUCAGUAUCGAUGCUGGAACAGUUCCAUCACAUGCUCUUCACAUCUCUGUUUAUCUCUUUCAGGUGAUCUCAAAGAAAAAUGCUCAAGGGGAGUUCAGGGACCAGAGAUUUAAUGGUUGCAGUUUUAUAGUCUUUAUCAGACCAUCAAGGCUGUAAUAGAAAGAUAGGAGUUAUCAUCUCCAAAAGUUUUGUCAUCUCAAUCAACCUUCGAGGGAAAAUCAUCGCAAGAAAGCUUCUGUUGUUUGGGUCACUGAGCGGCUCUUGUUUCUUGACCAAAUCGCUGCAACAUUAAGUGUCAGCAUGGAAGAAGUCAAAAGGAUUUAAAAUAAAUCAACACAAACUUUCAGAGGCUCGUUGACAUGACUGAUAACGGGAGGCCAUCAUGGGGCAAAAGCCAUGUUCAUCCAGACACCUUCCAAACGGACCAAGAUGAGAAACAGAAGAACAUGGAGAUUUUGCAAUUUGAGCUGAGGCAGGCAGGAGCUCUUUGGCAGAAGAGGAGGCCUCCCAAGGGGCUUGGAGGUGAACAGCAGAGCCACCAAGGACAGUGUGCAGGAAUCAGAGUGAUGUUCUCUCUCAUGGGAAGAGAAAGCCGUACAGCAACUACACCAGGGCAGAACCCUCCAUGGGAGAUGACAGCCUGUAAACUGCUGGGACUACCAGAAAACACAAUAAACACCGUGAACCACCGGAAGGAGCCCGCCAGCUGCAGAAAGGCAGCAAGAGGAUCAAAAGAGCAAUGUCCCAGGCAUUCCUGA
Molecule: long non-coding RNA, 846 nt
Filed under: Anser brachyrhynchus (Pink-footed goose)
Lineage: Eukaryota; Metazoa; Chordata; Aves; Anseriformes; Anatidae
Description: lncRNA (ENSABRG00000023054.1)
Source: RNAcentral